This is a non-coding RNA of Triticum aestivum (bread wheat), 126 nucleotides long. The record is from Rfam. NCBI's taxonomy places the organism in Eukaryota, Viridiplantae, Streptophyta, Magnoliopsida, Poales, Poaceae.
GAUGUACUCCCUCCGUCCGAAAAUACUUGUCAGACAAAUAGAUAAAAAAUGGAUGUAUCUACAACUAAAAUACGUCUAGAUACAUCCAUUUUUCCGACAAGUAUUUCCGAACGAAGGGAGUAUAAA